UUGACGGGGCCGCACAAGCGUGGAGCAUGUGGUUAAUUCGAAGCAACGCGAAGAACCUUACCAGGUCUUGACAUCCCGAUGCUAUUUCUAGAGAUAGAAAGUUACUUCGGUACAUCGGUGACAGGUGGUGCAUGGUUGUCGUCAGCUCGUGUCGUGAGAUGUUGGGUUAAGUCCCGCAACGAGCGCAACCCCUAUUGUUAGUUGCCAUCAUUCAGUUGGGCACUCUAGCGAGACUGCCGGUAAUAAACCGGAGGAAGGUGGGGAUGACGUCAAAUCAUCAUGCCCCUUAUGACCUGGGCUACACACGUGCUACAAUGGUUGGUACAACGAGUUGCGAGUCGGUGACGGCGAGCUAAUCUCUUAAAGCCAGUCGUAGUCCGGAUCGUAGUCUGCAACUCGACUACGUGAAGUCGGAAUCGCUAGUAAUCGUGGAUCAGAAUGUCACGGUGAAUACGUUCCCGGGUCUU
RNAcentral lists this ribosomal RNA (467 nucleotides) under uncultured Streptococcus sp. Its description in RNAcentral is "bacterial SSU rRNA". It matches the Rfam family "Bacterial small subunit ribosomal RNA", at positions 910 to 1382 of the family's 1533-position model. Lineage: Bacteria; Bacillati; Bacillota; Bacilli; Lactobacillales; Streptococcaceae. The record is from RNAcentral.